GAGUUUGAUCGUGGCUCAAGAUGAACGCUGGCGGCGUGCUUAACACAUGCAAGUCGAGCGAAGCGUAUUUGCGGAAGUUUUCGGAUGGAAGCGGAUGCGACUUAGCGGCGGACGGGUGAGUAACGCGUGGGUAACCUGCCUCAUACAGGGGGAUAACAGUUAGAAAUGACUGCUAAUACCGCAUAAGCGCACAGGACCGCAUGGUCCGGUGUGAAAAACUCCGGUGGUAUGAGAUGGAACCCG
RNAcentral lists this ribosomal RNA (243 nucleotides) under uncultured microorganism. RNAcentral describes it as "partial 16S ribosomal RNA". It matches the Rfam family "Bacterial small subunit ribosomal RNA", at positions 9 to 233 of the family's 1533-position model. The record is from RNAcentral.